Long non-coding RNA from Lemur catta (Ring-tailed lemur), 326 nucleotides. RefSeq lists it as uncharacterized. The transcript has 3 exons. NCBI's taxonomy places the organism in Eukaryota, Metazoa, Chordata, Mammalia, Primates, Lemuridae. The record is from RefSeq and is a predicted model, not a curated record.
GAAUGAGAAGAAAGGAGGAAAGAAGAGUGUUGGACCAGUUGAGAAACUAGGAUGAGGGAAGCGGCAAUGACUGAGUGAAAGACCAGACACAGAACUUGGUAACCAAGGCAGAAGGCAGAAAAGGGAGGGGAAAAGUUCCAAAUUUAUGUGACCAAAGAACCCUUCGUGCCAAGCAUUUUGAAGGACACACAUGGUGAGCAAUGGCCAGGUGAUCCAAGAAGCUCUCCCAGAGCAAUGAUGUUGGAGCUGAGAUUUCCAGCCCUGCCUGAGAGUUUUCCAAGCAAAGAGCCCAAGAAGCAGGACAACGGUCCACCAGGCCAGACCUG